UGAUCACGGGCUGAUGGGCAUCACGGCAUUUUGUUUGUUUUAAAAGUUAUUAGGUGCAUUAAGUUUACUGUUUUUAUCCUACAUAGCUUCUUAAGCAGCAAACAAGAAAUGACGAAAAAGAGAUGGGCCAACAUUGAACAAAGCAAAAUAGAGAAAUCAGUUGCUUCAUGGCUGCCACAGACACAAUUAAAAUCAAAGACUUAGAAAGGGGCAGGGUGUCAAAGAGCACCUGAAGAACAGGAAGAUGAGGAUCGUGAAGCCGCCGACGCUUGAAUGAUGUGUAAAUAAUGUAUUGUCAGAGUGUCUACGAACCGGGAAAUCUGGGAAUGAACUUAUUUUUUUACUGAAAUGUACUGUUUUUAGUAAAUAUGGGUAAUUUUUAGUGGUAAUUGUCCUUAAAUAAUUGUGUGGGC
Molecule: long non-coding RNA, 413 nt
Organism: Macrosteles quadrilineatus (aster leafhopper)
Lineage: Eukaryota; Metazoa; Arthropoda; Insecta; Hemiptera; Cicadellidae
Exons: 3
Source: RefSeq, a predicted model, not a curated record